RNAcentral lists this ribosomal RNA (429 nucleotides) under Bacteroidota bacterium. RNAcentral describes it as "Bacteroidetes bacterium partial 16S ribosomal RNA". It matches the Rfam family "Bacterial small subunit ribosomal RNA", at positions 355 to 776 of the family's 1533-position model. The record is from RNAcentral. Lineage: Bacteria; Pseudomonadati; Bacteroidota.
UAGGGAAUCUUCCGCAAUGGACGCAAGUCUGACGGAGCAACGCCGCGUGAGUGAAGAAGGAUUUCGGUUCGUAAAACUCUGUUGUUAGAGAAGAACAGCGCAUAGAGUAACUGUUAUGCGUGUGACGGUAUCUAACCAGAAAGCCACGGCUAACUACGUGCCAGCAGCCGCGGUAAUACGUAGGUCCCGAGCGUUGUCCGGAUUUAUUGGGCGUAAAGCGAGCGCAGGCGGUCAAUUAAGUCUGAUGUGAAAGCCCCCGGCUCAACCGGGGAGGGUCAUUGGAAACUGGUUGACUUGAGUGCAGAAGAGGAGAGUGGAAUUCCAUGUGUAGCGGUAAAGUGCGUAGGUAUAUGGAGGAACACCAGUGGCGAAGGCGACUCUCUGGUCUGUAACUGACGCUGAGGCUCGAAAGCGUGGGUAGCAAACAGG